This is a non-coding RNA of Labrus bergylta (ballan wrasse), 312 nucleotides long. Lineage: Eukaryota; Metazoa; Chordata; Actinopteri; Labriformes; Labridae. The record is from RefSeq and is a predicted model, not a curated record.
GGCCGAGAGACCGAGGGCAUGACUGCCAAUCCCAUCCGGAGGAUUUGUGUCCUCCUCCACCAAAUUCGCUGGAGGAAGAGCGAAGAGGGUCGAGGCCUCACGCUGCCACCUGAACCCUCCUCCUCCUGCACCCGGCGUCCACUGAAACAGGCUUUGUAAAGGAGAUCUGCGUGCCUUUUAAAUGAGAUGAACACUGUCAGAUUUACACACUGCUAUGGUUUCAACCAACCCCUGAUAAUCCCUUCCCAGAAAUAAAUUGUCCCAUUAAAAUGAAAUGUUGCCCAUAUAGGUUUAAUAAAUUGAAAACGCUUG